GUACUCCUCACAUUAAACUACAUAUUCUUCUUUAUAUAACUAUAAUUAAUUAUUUUGUUUUAAAGUGUUUUCUGUUUAUAUGUUACCCCUGUUACAGGGGACUGUAUUGCAGUGUCUCCUACAAUGCUAUAUUUUGUUGGUCAGACACUUUUCCCUCUCUCCCUGGCUCUUCCUCCACACAGGGCUGAGAGGGGUCUGAGAGGUUGUGAGACCGCACCGCCCGCGCGUCCGCGGUCUCACUAGUGCCCUCCCCCUCCUCCCUCACUGUAUUUGCCGGCACCCGCUUAGAUAUAAACCAGCGGGUGCCGAGCAACUCUGUUUCUCCCCGGGCUUACUUCCGCCCGGCGGUCUGGGACCGCAAGGAUUCCCUUUACUCGCGGCCAUUGCUAGGGGGGGCAGAGCUAAUCACCUUCGGCGCGCUUCUCUCCUCUGAAGUGCGGGAAGGCUGAACGGCUCCUAGCUUUG
Molecule: non-coding RNA, 465 nt
Organism: Pelobates cultripes (western spadefoot toad)
Lineage: Eukaryota; Metazoa; Chordata; Amphibia; Anura; Pelobatidae
Source: the annotation of a GenBank genome assembly